CCUACGGGGGGCUGCAGUGAGGAAUAUUGGUCAAUGGGCUUACGCCUGAACCAGCCAAGUCGCGUGAGGGAAGACUGCCCUAUGGGUUGUAAACCUCUUUUGUCAGGGAGCAACGCCGGCUACGUGUAGCCGGACUGAGAGUACCUGCAGAAAAAGCAUCGGCUAACUCCGUGCCAGCAGCCGCAGUAAUACGGAGGAUGCGAGCGUUAUCCGGAUUUAUUGGGUUGAAAGGGUGCGUAGGCGGAAUGCCAAGUCAGCGGUAAAAUCGCGGGGCUCAACCUCGCUCCGCCGUUGAAACUGGCGUUCUGGAGUGGGCGAGAAGUAGGCGGAAUGCGUGGUGUAGCGGUGAAAUGCAUAGAUAUCACGCAGAACUCCGAUUGCGAAGGCAGCAUACCGGCGCCCAACUGACGCUGAAGCACGAAAGCGUGGGUAUCGAACAGGAUUAGAUACCCCUGUAGUC
This 460-nucleotide ribosomal RNA is filed under the name uncultured bacterium. RNAcentral's name for it is "partial 16S ribosomal RNA". It matches the Rfam family "Bacterial small subunit ribosomal RNA", at positions 338 to 795 of the family's 1533-position model. The record is from RNAcentral.